Molecule: transfer RNA, 74 nt
Filed under: Staphylococcus aureus F80972
Lineage: Bacteria; Bacillati; Bacillota; Bacilli; Caryophanales; Staphylococcaceae
Description: tRNA-Asn
Rfam family: tRNA
About the family: Transfer RNA (tRNA) molecules are approximately 80 nucleotides in length. Their secondary structure includes four short double-helical elements and three loops (D, anti-codon, and T loops). Further hydrogen bonds mediate the characteristic L-shaped molecular structure. tRNAs have two regions of fundamental functional importance: the anti-codon, which is responsible for specific mRNA codon recognition, and the 3' end, to which the tRNAs corresponding amino acid is attached (by aminoacyl-tRNA synthetases). tRNAs cope with the degeneracy of the genetic code in two manners: having more than one tRNA (with a specific anti-codon) for a particular amino acid; and 'wobble' base-pairing, i.e. permitting non-standard base-pairing at the 3rd anti-codon position.
Source: RNAcentral
GCGGGUGUAGUUUAAUGGACAAGAUAAAAAAAGUUAUUGACUUGUUGUGGGUUCGAUUCCCAUCACCCGCUCCA